This 29-nucleotide non-coding RNA is filed under the name Mus musculus (house mouse). The record is from RNAcentral. Lineage: Eukaryota; Metazoa; Chordata; Mammalia; Rodentia; Muridae.
GACAUUAGCUUUCUGUCUGCUCGGUGUGA